GGGCAGGUGAUCAUCAGAGCAAGAAUUAUUUGUCGUGAGGUUCUGUGCAACAUCAAGCCUGGGUCACAGAACCAGUUGUGGGCUUCCAGGUGAUGAGUGUAAGGAGGGACCACGUUCAGGUUCAUAGGUCAUAUGACUUUGAGGGGGCGUUUCCUGGAUGUUCCCCACAUCAGAGAGAACUCUGAGCUCAAGGCUGCUUUUUCAGGAAGAAGCAGUGAGUAGCAACAUCUGGAGCAAGACUUUGCCUAGAUCAUUUGUAGCUAAAUCUUUUGACAAAGAGGGUUUCCACCUAACCUCACGACAGAAUCAAUAACUAAACAGUAACUUGCAAUCCCCACUUCCAUAAAGACAGAGAGCAGGAGGCUAGGCUUAGCACAGGCAGGACAUUCUGGAUGUGAAGGCUGGUCCGCCUCCCCUUGACCCUUGACCCUUCACAUCCAGGCUCCAGAGGCUCAAACCUCCAGGGCAGGCAGCCACAGAUGGUGAAGGUCCGGAAGGUUUCAGUCUCAUCAAGACAAGGCGUUUUCCUCUCGAUUGUCAUUUCUGGGCAUACAAUGUUGUAAUGGUGGUCAGAGCAACUUGUGACCUCCCACUGUCUGUGUCAUGUGGGUCGCUCAGAAAAUCCAGGAGCUGGAGGCCACACUGUACAAUGCGCUGCAACAGGAGCCGGGGCGGAGGGCCAGCGAGGCGCUGAGCGAGGGCCAGCGGGAGGACCUGCAGCCGCCGUGGAGAAGCUGCGCCGGCAGAUCCUGCGGCAGAGCCGGGAGUUUGACAGUCAGAUCCUGCGGGAGCGCAUGGAGCUGCUGCAGCAGGCCCAGCAGGAGAAACUUGGUUCCCUCCAAUGAGUGUGGGUAUGAUAUGAAGAUCUGCUCAAAGCCAACAGUAAGUGAUAAAAUGUCUCUGAAAGGAUCCUGGUCCCAUCACUUCAUGGGAAAUAGACAGGGAAACAGUGGAAACAGUGUCAGACUUUAUUUUUUGCGGCUCCAAAAUCACCGCAGAUGGUGACUGCAGCCAUGAAAUUAAAAGACGCUUACUCCUUGGAAGAAAAGUUAUGACCAACCUAGAUAGCAUAUUCAAAAGCAGGGACAUUACCUUGCUGACUAAGGUCCAUCUAGUCAAGGCUAUGGUUUUUCCUGUGGUCAUGUAUGGAUGUGAGAGUUGGACUGUGAAGAAAGCUGAGCACCGAAGAAUUGAUGCUUUUGAACUGUGGGGUUGGAGAAGACUCUUGAGAGUCCCUUGGACUGCAAGGAGAUCCAACCAGUCCAUUCUGAAGGAGAUCAGCCCUGGGAUUUCUUUGGAAGGAAUGAUACUGAAGCUGAAACUCCAGUACUUUGGCCACCUCAUGUGAAGAGUUGACUCACUGGAAAAGACUCUGAUGCUGGGAAGGAUUGGGGGCAGUAGGAGAAGGGGAUGACAGAGGAUGAGAUGUCUGGAUGGCAUCACUGACUCGAUGGACAUGAGUCUGAGUGAACUCCGGGAGAUGGUGAUGAACAGGGAGGCUUGGCGUGCUGCGAUUCAUGGGGUCGCAAAGAGUCGGACACGACUGAGCGACUGAACUGAACUGAACUGAACUGAUGCCUAAGACUCUUCGAUUAUAGGAUAUGGAAUUGAAAUUAAUGUGACAUGUUUCACAUAAAUGAGCAGAUCUAAGAUUAGAAGUAUGUCAUGAUUUAAAGACUACUCCAAAUUUGUUUUUAGGCUACAUCAAUCUUUCAAGGUUCCUGAGUUAAAAAAACACAUAGUCUAGUUAGUUUAAGCAAAAAAAAAAAAAAGUUUUAUUAAAGGUUUUAAGUAGUUCUCAGAAUCUUAGUGAGGACAAGAGAAUCAACCAUGGAUGCUCUGAGACUGGGAGCCACGUGCAGGUUACAUAGGAGGAUGGCUCUAGAGGAUACCCCGCUGUCCCUGUCUCCCAGGGUCCAGGCAGCCCGUCUCCCACCCCAGUGCUAGAAACGAAAGGCUCCUGCUAGGACCUCUGGCCAUGGCCUCUAGAAGGCGCUGCUUCUCCGUCUGCCUGUCAUGAUGGCGUCUGUAAGAUACCUUGCUCACUUCCCCAUGGAGUUCUCAGUCAGGUGGGUCUGAUUGGCAGAAUCUGGACCCUACAUCCUCAAAUCUAAGGUGCCAAAAGAGUUUAUGACUUCUCUGGAGAGCAGACUCUUGAAUUAGUACAUUCUCCAAAUACGAAAUGAGCCCAAAGGUAAUGAGUAGCCAAAUAACAUGACGAAUGCCCGCUUCAGUGAAGCAGUAUGACCUCAGCUUCCCCUCCAUGCCUGGGGAGAGUGAGUCAUGCGUUGCCAGCGUAGUUAAUGCUCCAUGGGGCAGACUCAUGACCAGCGGGAAAGUGAGGAGUGGGAAAGAGCUAACAGAUCAAUUCCUUCCCUUUCCCUUCCCCUGAUUGGCUGCCUUGCGAUGCAGUAGCUUAUCUGGUCUUACUGAACACAUCCCAUGAGAUGGAGCUUAACUCUACGUGUUACCAACCACAGGCGCACUCCAGCCUCCCUCACUACACUUCCCCUCACUGUCGCUUUCCUGACAUGGCUUCUCCUUAGAAAGUGGCAGCUCAUCAGCUUUUCCUGUAGGCUUCUUGCAACCCAGCCUACAAGAGCAUCUCUUGCAGAUGCAAUAUAGUCUCACUAGAGUCAAUUAUUUUCUCUAGAAAACUGGUAAUAGCAGCUUGUGCUGAUUUGUAAACCUGUGUUUCCUGUAACUGUUGCUCAUUUUGAAACUUUUCUAUUAUCUCUAUUUUUUUUCUCAUGUGCCAAAAAAAAAAAAAAAAAAAGGAAUUAUUCACUGGGUGGGGUUGGGUUGUGAGAGUGGCAAUGGAGAGAUUAACUAGCUUCCAGUUAACUGUCUUCUAGUUCCCUAAAUGAGCCAUUGGGUCUCAUUUCUCUGUGCCCUCUCUCAGAUUAUUUUCUCUUCUAAAAAGUUGUUUGCUCUUUUUUUGUCCUUGAAAACUAAGCUUGGGUGUCUCCUCUUUAAGAAACCUGUCUUGAGGACCUCUGAUCCCAAAUUUAAUUUACACUGGGUUGGGUAUUCCCAUAAUAUGCUGUCCAUCGUAUUUAUGUGGGCCACGCUGGACUUCACUCGUUGGUUUCCUUGAACAUCUGUCUUCCCUAAAGGAUCGUAAGCAUUUUAGGGGCAAGGACAUGUCUCAUUGGGCAUUGUAGCCCCAGCUUAAGUCAGUGUAACUGGCACUUAGUGACUAUUCAAUAAAACAGCUGCUGAAUAUGUGAUUAAUACUUACGGGAUGACUCAUGGAGUGAUUCCAUUCACAAUCCCUGUGCCAUGCUGUGGCCGUGCUUGGGAAAGCCCCCCAUCCAAGCUCUUUCCUGACUGGAAGAGCUACCCUUGCACCCAGCUAAGAGGUGGUAAUUGCACUGCAGUGUCCUACCUGACAAAGCCCGGUAAUUUCCCCAGGAAACAAGAGAAACCUACGAAAGGAUUUAGUGUUGCAUCUGUGCUUGAUUCCUGAGUGAGUGAAUGAAGGUGAUAAAAAAAAUUUCCUACUGAAAAAAAUGUAAGUGUAAGGUCACCUAAGAUUUGCUUCAUAAAUGACCAGUGGUUUUGUUAUCCACAUAACACUUGGCCAGUGGACAAAAAUAGUUGUUAAAAAAAAGACAUUUAUUUGCUCUUGUAUUUGGUAACUCUGUCUAAAGUUAGUCCUCGUUUAGUAUAUAUGUCCAAAUAUGUUCUAAUUUUCUGUUUAGAAGAAGAGAGGGAAACAGGAAGAUGGACAGUGCCACAAAAUGCAGGAUUUGUAGGUCAUUUAAGGAGUCUGGUCGCACACAAUAGGGAAUAAGAGACUAUCAAAGAUGAACAAAAUUAUUGAUAAACAUUAACUUGUGAACGUCAAAGUUACAAGUAUCUAAUCUUUUGGUUUAUAUUCUGAAAUAAGUAGUUGAGUUUUUUUAACUGUUUAUAUCAUAUAGAAAUUAGUAGUAUUAAAAACUAUUCUAACAAUUUUCACUAAAAAGACCUCUUAGAUUUAGUAUAAAAUUUGGGAAAGUGAAAUCUAUUUGAGAGACUGAAUGUCAGUUGACUGUAUUUGAGAAUCUGAAUAUGAGAGUAAAUGUUUUUCUUUUCCUGCCUGGGUUUUAACUGGUAUGUGCCUUCAUACCCUAAAUGGUGAUAGAUCCUAAGAAGAACAUUCUAAUUUUCAUGCAUAAAAGAUGAAAAAAAUUUUUUUUGUUAAGAAUCAUAGUCUCUCUACUGUUGAUUAUUGUCUCUCGGGUGCCAUCUGGUGGAUUAAAACGAAAAUGCAGUUUUCUGUUUGGGAAUGAGAAGCAAAGAUGAGGUUCUGCUAAGAAAUCAUUAAAGAAUAUGAACUGAACAGGUUGAAGAUUAAUUUUGCUUACACUUUUGAUGUUUGAUUUUCUACCUUAAAUAGGCAUCCUGGGGCCAGAUGUAAUGGAGAGAACACUCUAGAGAACAAAUCCAGGAGAGAACAUGCUCUCCUGGAUUUGGCAGGCUUUGAGUUCUGCUCAGAUUUCUGACAGUAAAUAGCAAGAUGAUUUGCUUUUGUUUUUUCUUUUCUAAAGAGCUUCCAAGUUAAACGACGAGAUUAGCUAUAGAUGGAAAAGAAUCAGAUUGUUCCUGGACUUCUCCGUGGCAAUACUGGGUAGAACAGAAAAGAGAACGAUAUCUUCAGUGUUUCUGAGGGAGAAUUUCUUUCUUUCUCUAGAGUACUCUGCUGAGCCAGGCUCUCUCCUUCAGGUACGAGCAAAAUAAAAGCACUUUCAGACAUACAUGGGUAAGAAAGUUAUCCUUUCGUAUAAGUUCUCUCUAGAAGAGUUACUAAUUUCAAUGUCAUCUUUGUUAGGCCCUGUGUUUCAGUUUAACUUUAGAUAUUUUCCUUUUUGGCUAUUGCAAUUUUGGUGUUCAUGUCUUUUUUUUUUCUUUUUUUGCUUUUUUUUAAACUUGCAUAUCCAUGAUGUCUUCUGACUGGUUGUUUGUAUAGACUGGUUGUUUGUAUAAAUGAAGGCAAUUCAUUUUUGCACACUAAUCUGGUAUCCAUCCGUCUCAUAAGUUCUCAUAUUGUUUACAACUGAUUUUUAACUGAGUUUAUUGGGUUUUGCAGGUAUACAGUUAUCUAUUAAUAGUAAUAAUGUACCACUCUUCCAGUGUUGUUACCUCUUAUAUAUUUCUCUUGUCUAAUUGCAUUGGUUAAGCCUCUAGAGUUAUGCUAAAUAAUAGUGGUGACUGUGGACAUACUUGUCUUGUUGUUGAUUUUAAUGGGAAUACUCCUAGUGUCUCCUCAUUAAACAUAGAUACUGGCUUUUAAGAAAUAUUUAUCUUUCCUAUGUUGUGAAGAUUUAAAAAAUUAAUUAUGGAUGUUGAAAUUCAUCAAAUGCCUUUCCAGCAUAUUUGAAGAAAAUUGUAUACUUUUUCUCCCUUUUAACCUAUUUUAUCAGCCAGAAUUCACCUGCAGAAAAGUGAAAGGGAUUGAAAGGGAUUUAAUACAGGGAAUAAACUGCUUCUGAAUCAGUGGAGAGCUGGAGGUGCAAGCUCCUCUGGGAAUAUCGCCCAAAUCCACACUGUAGACCUGACCCACCAGGAGACCUGGUCCCCCUGCCAUAGUAGGAGGUCACGCCUGCACUCUUAGCUCCAAGAGCACACUGUCUUCGUGUGGUCUGGGAACAAGAAGUUGCUACCAGAAUUCUUACCUGCAGGAACAUACCUUCUUCUCUCUCAUACCUCUGAAUAAGGAAACUGAUGCUAGAAUUGGCAGCGGCAGGGUUUUACUGCGUCUGCCGUGACGUGUCCUGGAAAAAUGUGCCUCACCAAUGUGUCUUCCCCUACUCAGUUGAGUUCUGAAGUGGAAUUUCACACAAAUGCAUCUGAUUAGCAAAA
This is a long non-coding RNA of Capra hircus (goat), 5847 nucleotides long. NCBI's taxonomy places the organism in Eukaryota, Metazoa, Chordata, Mammalia, Artiodactyla, Bovidae. The record is from Ensembl.